This 468-nucleotide ribosomal RNA is filed under the name uncultured bacterium. Its description in RNAcentral is "partial 16S ribosomal RNA". It matches the Rfam family "Bacterial small subunit ribosomal RNA", at positions 28 to 507 of the family's 1533-position model. The record is from RNAcentral.
GACGAACGCUGGCGGCGUGCUUAACACAUGCAAGUCGAACGGAAAGGCCCUGCUUUUGUGGGGUGCUCGAGUGGCGAACGGGUGAGUAACACGUGAGUAACCUGCCCUUGACUUUGGGAUAACUUUAGGAAACUGGGGCUAAUACCGGAUAGGAGCUCCUGCUGCAUGGUGGGGGUUGGAAAGUUUCGGCGGUUGGGGAUGGACUCGCGGCUUAUCAGCUUGUUGGGGGGGUAGUGGCUGACCAAGGCUUUGACGGGUAGCCGGCCUGAGAGGGUGACCGGCCACAUUGGGACUGAGAUACGGCCCAGACUCGUACGGGAGGCAGCAGUGGGGAAUAUUGCACAAUGGGCGGAAGGCUGAAGCAGCAACGCCGCGUGCGGGAUGAAGGCCUUCGGGUUGUAAACCGCUUUCGCCUGUGACGAAGCGUGAGUGACGGUAAUGGGUAAAGAAGCGCCGGCUAACUACGUG